GCUGAAUCCCACCGCCGAAAUCAAGCUCCCUGCCGCCACAUCCCGGCAGAACACUCCCUGAAACUCUGACAGCUUCUCAUGUUUCACAUUGCCAGUAAUUCUCACUGCCGCAGUGGCUACUGCGGCAGCGGCCGUGGCAUCCCUCGUCUUUUGCCUCUCCGCAGCCUCAUCAUCGAUCACGGCCGACAUAAUGCUUGAGUACCCUUUCUGCAGCAUUCUGUACAACAUCAAUGCCGACAUCCUCGCCUGCUCCCUCACCGCAUCAAUGCCCCGGUGGUCUUCGGUGAACUCCAACCUGUCGACAAAAGCUGCCGCCCUCUCCGGCCUGUGCCGGAGAUUUAGCAGCAGGUGUGCCCG
This 357-nucleotide unclassified non-coding RNA is filed under the name Hevea brasiliensis (rubber tree). Lineage: Eukaryota; Viridiplantae; Streptophyta; Magnoliopsida; Malpighiales; Euphorbiaceae. The record is from RNAcentral.